CAUCUCUGGCUCUGGUGAUAAAUCAGCAACCACAUGCUGGGGAGACAGAAUGGAAACUCAGAAAAUAUACCUGCUUCACAAACUCAUUCCCUCCUCGUUACCUUGGCUUCUCACAUCAGAGAGAAUCAUCAGGCAGCCUGCCAGCAAAGCAGAGAUACAAAAUAGAGUGUGGAGGUCUGGUGCCCUGCCUGUGGAGUCUGGAAUGAACACGACAUGCUAAAUCUGAGGAGGACCAGGAGAACCAGUAAACUGCUGCUUCAUGCCUUGCAGGCAGUGCCAGCAGGAGCCUGGGUGAAGGGCAAGAGUGCAGAGACAGGUCUUCCUCUGGCACAGGAGUACAGAGCUUGAUGACACCUGAGAGAUCAAGAUACUGACAGAAACCCUGUAGCACUCCAGACCCCAAACUAAGCCUUUUGUCUGCUGGAGGAGUCUGAAGACUGAGGUGUACAGAAAGUCACCAUGGUAACCAUCAAAUCCAGAGUACACUGGCAGUACACACCUACGCUAAUGGCCUAGUGAUGAGUAUACCACACUUUUAAGUAUUAUUACCUCAGGCUCCAUAUUUAAUUGAAAAUUACAGAAAACAUGAAAGAGCAAGAAAAAGAUAUUAAAACAAUAAAAUUUGGGGGCUGUGGCUGUGGCUCAGUGAUAGAGCACCUGCCUUGCACAUGUGAGGCACUGGGUUUGAUCCUCAG
This 695-nucleotide long non-coding RNA is filed under the name Ictidomys tridecemlineatus (thirteen-lined ground squirrel). RNAcentral's name for it is "lncRNA (ENSSTOG00000031529.1)". Lineage: Eukaryota; Metazoa; Chordata; Mammalia; Rodentia; Sciuridae. The record is from RNAcentral.